GCAAAUUGCCACACUUUCCCCCACUCUCCCCAGCUAACACGCUGUAUCCAAUUUCCUCCCCAUAUAUAUAUAUACACCCUCCCUUCCACCUAAACUCAUAAUUCUUCAGACACCCAAAAACAAACACAUUCUCUUCAUUCAAUGGCUCCUUCCACACUUACGGCCCUCGCAGAGGAGAAAAUCCUGCAGGAAAGCUUCGUCCGAGACGAGGAUGAGCGUCCAAAAGUUGCAUACAAUCAAUUCAGCAACGAAAUUCCUGUGAUUUCAUUGGCUGGGAUUGAUGAUGUUGGUGGGAAGAGAGCU
Molecule: long non-coding RNA, 303 nt
Filed under: Manihot esculenta (cassava)
Lineage: Eukaryota; Viridiplantae; Streptophyta; Magnoliopsida; Malpighiales; Euphorbiaceae
Description: long non-coding RNA (MESC_LNC000852)
Source: RNAcentral